UCCCAUUUAAGGAGAGGGUUCUUCAGGGU
This 29-nucleotide non-coding RNA is filed under the name Rattus norvegicus (Norway rat). The record is from RNAcentral. Lineage: Eukaryota; Metazoa; Chordata; Mammalia; Rodentia; Muridae.